GCCAAUUUCACUACUGCCAUCAUUAUUUUCUUUAUCCAUUUCUUUUUCAUCUUUUGUUUCUAUUUCUUCACUACUAAGAAGGAAUUCUGCAGUCUCCUGAUUUCCUUCUUCUUCCUCCUCCUCUUCUUUCUCCUCCUCUUCCUCUAGUUCUUCCUCUUUCUCUUCUUUCUCUACCUUCUCUUCUCCAUCUUCCUCAGACUCAUCUGUCAUUUCUUCCUCUUCCUCCUC
This 228-nucleotide long non-coding RNA is filed under the name Homo sapiens (human). Its description in RNAcentral is "LNC_000075". The record is from RNAcentral. Lineage: Eukaryota; Metazoa; Chordata; Mammalia; Primates; Hominidae.